This 490-nucleotide long non-coding RNA is filed under the name Olea europaea (common olive). Its description in RNAcentral is "long non-coding RNA (OEUR_LNC004535)". Lineage: Eukaryota; Viridiplantae; Streptophyta; Magnoliopsida; Lamiales; Oleaceae. The record is from RNAcentral.
GGGGAAAGAAUGUUAAGUUCAAUUUUCCUGAUAAUCCUCCGGAAAUUCUUAACGGGAGGUCAAUGACGCCGGUUCAAAUCCAGGCCGCUGCAGCCCGAUUUGCACACUCGGAUUCGGGUAAUUUGAAUCCGUCUUCUCCUUCUUCUUCUUCUUCGAUUUCGUCUUCUGAAUUAUUAGAGUCCCUUUCGCCGUCAGUUUCCGAUGAAGCGGCUCAAUUGGACCGAGAGAUCAUCGAAAUACCUACGGACGAUGCAUUCAUGGAUCAACUAUUGACAAUGGGAAAUGAAAAUUCCGUACUGGAUUUCGGGAAUUUUCCGGCCUUCGAUGAUAUUACCAGCGAUUUUUUGACGGCACCAUUGCCUGAUUACUGGCCUGGGAACACUGAUAACAUACCUCAAGACUCGUUUCUUUGGAAUUUUUGAAGCCUCGUUUUUUCUUUUCAGCUUUCUGGAAUUACUGAUUUUUCAUAGAAGUGAUGGAACGAUUUUUG